CGUAGGGUCCAAGCGUUAUCCGGAAUCACUGGGCGUAAAGCGUGCGUAGGCGGUUUGUUAAGUGAGAUGUUAAAACGUGGGGCUCAACCCUGUCGGUGCAUCUCAUACUGGCAGACUAGAGGACGGCAGAGGCAAGUGGAAUUGGUAGUGUAGCAGUGAAAUGCGUAGAUAUUACCAGGAACACCAAUGGCGAAGGCAGCUUGCUGGGCCGACCCUGACGCUGAGGUACGAAAGCGUGGGGAGCGAACAGGAUUAGAUACCCUGGUAGUCCACGCCGUAAACGAUGCAUACUAGACGUAUGGGGUAUCGACCCCCUGUGCGUCGCAGCUAACGCGAUAAGUAUGCCGCCUGGGAAGUACGGCCGCAAGGCUA
Molecule: ribosomal RNA, 372 nt
Filed under: uncultured organism
Description: bacterial SSU rRNA
Rfam family: Bacterial small subunit ribosomal RNA
Source: RNAcentral